This 496-nucleotide ribosomal RNA is filed under the name uncultured bacterium. RNAcentral's name for it is "partial 16S ribosomal RNA". It matches the Rfam family "Bacterial small subunit ribosomal RNA", at positions 28 to 506 of the family's 1533-position model. The record is from RNAcentral.
GAUGAACGCUGGCGGCGUGCCUAAUACAUGCAAGUCGAGCGAACAGACGAGGAGCUUGCUCCUUUGACGUUAGCGGCGGACGGGUGAGUAACACGUAGGUAACCUACCUAUAAGACUGGGAUAACUUCGGGAAACCGGAGCUAAUACCGGAUAAUAUUUCGAACCGCAUGGUUCGAUAGUGAAAGAUGGCUUUGCUAUCACUUAUAGAUGGACCUGCGCCGUAUUAACUAGUUGGUAAGGUAACGGCUUACCAAGGCAACGAUACGUAGCCGACCUGAGAGGGUGAACGGCCACACUGGAACUGAGAACCGGUCCAGCCCCCUACGGGGGGCAGAAGUAGGGAAUCUUCCGAAAGGGGCGAAAGCCUAACGGAGCAACGCCGGGUGGGUGAUGAAGGGUUUCGGAUCGUAAAACUCUUUUAUUAGGGAAAAAAAAACGUGUAAGUAACUGGGCACGUCUUGACGGUACCUAAUAAGAAAGCCACGGCUAACUACGU